UUUGAUGUAUGAAAUGGGAUGGUAGAAAUUACAGACCAGAUUUCCAGCUCCAAGGGUGCAGAAGCCAUUGAUGAUAUCUACAAGAACAAGUGCAGUGAUGACACCAUCAUGUAUGCAUACUGACUCUUCCUCCACUGGUAUUUCCUUCUUCAAAAGAUCAACUGCGUUCACCGCCACCAUUUUUGAUAAAUGAAAUUGAAAUGAAUCACUGAUGGUAUGUUUUGAGUAAGAUAGACAAAAAGAAGCGGGUCCUACCUUAAUUUGGAAAUAUGUGAUACGAGAUUGAAAUGGUUGAAUUUUGUGUCAUUUAUUUGUCAUGUAUGCAAAGUGUUCAAAAAUCCAAAUCGUUUACGGAAUUAUGGUGCCGUAACGUAUUUGA
Molecule: long non-coding RNA, 379 nt
Filed under: Helianthus annuus (common sunflower)
Lineage: Eukaryota; Viridiplantae; Streptophyta; Magnoliopsida; Asterales; Asteraceae
Description: hypothetical non coding rna
Source: RNAcentral